This 3483-nucleotide ribosomal RNA is filed under the name hot springs metagenome. RNAcentral's name for it is "bacterial LSU rRNA". It matches the Rfam family "Bacterial large subunit ribosomal RNA". The record is from RNAcentral.
GGAAGGGCGGCGGGUGGAUGCCUUGGGGCCAGGAGCCGAAGAAGGGCGCGGCGCACCGCGAAAGGCCACGGGGAGCGGCGAGCACGCUGGGAUCCGUGGGUGCCCGAAUGCGGCAACGCCCUCGCCAUCGUAGGCGAGGACCCGAACCGGAAGGUUCGGGAGGGAACCGGGGGAACUGAAACAUCUAAGUACCCCGAGGAAAAGAAAUCAAGCGAGAUUCCGCAAGUAGCGGCGAGCGAACGCGGAGGAGCCCAAACCGGUCCGGUGGUCAAGCCUGCCGGCGUUGCCGGACCGGGGUCGUGGGAGAGGCGAGCUGGGGCGGCAGACCCGGCACCGAGUGAGCAACCGGAGACUUACCCGAACACCGCUGGAAAGCGGGACCGGAGGUGGUGACAGUCCAGUAGGGGAAGGGUUUCCGGCUCGGCGUCUUGUCCCAAGUACCCCGGGACACGAGGAACCCUGGGGGAAUCCGGGGGGACCACCCUCCAAGGCUAAAUACUCCUGGCCACCGAUAGCGCACCAGUACCGUGAGGGAAAGGUGAAAAGCACCCCGGGAGGGGAGUGAAAGAGAACCUGAAACCCGUCGCCUACAAGCAGUCGGAGCACCAUGGCUCGCGAGGGCCGGUGUGACGGCGUGCCUUUUGCAGAAUGAACCGGCGAGUUGCUCUGUCAGGCCGAGGUUAAGUCCCGGGAGGGACGGAGCCGGAGGGAAACCGAGUCCGAAGAGGGCGAGAGGGGGGCGAAAGUCUCCCUGCGGUCUGACGGAGCAGACCCGAAACCAGGUGAUCUACCCAUGGCCAGGCUGAAGUUCGGAUAAUCUCCGGAUGGAAGGCCGGACCGGUGUCGGUUGAAGACGGCUCGGAGGAGCUGUGGGUAGGGGUGAAAUGCCAAUCGAACCUGGAGAUAGCUGGUUCUCCCCGAAAUGCAUUGAGGUGCAGCCUCAUCCGUUUCCUUUCGGAGGUAGAGCACUGGAUGGCCUAGGGGCCUGACCGGGUUACCGAAGUCAACCAAACUCCGAAUGCCGGAAGGUGAAGGAUGGGAGUGAGACCGUGGGGGAUAAGCUUCACGGUCGAGAGGGAAACAGCCCGGACCCUCCGCUAAGGUCCCCAAACCUAGCUAAGUGUGAAAGGAAGUGGGAGCACGUAGACAGCCAGGAUGUUGGCUUAGAAGCAGCCAUCAUUGAAAGAGUGCGUAACAGCUUACUGGCCGAAGGUGGUCCUGCGCCGACAAUCCAGGGGGGCUCAAGCUAGGUACCGAAGCGAGGGCAUGCGAGGGACGAAGGACGAAGCGCAGGAAGGACGAAGAGGCACCUGGGAGGCAGUGACCAGGUGAGGAGCCGCGAGAGACGCGAUGCUGCGCAGCUUCCGCGAUCUGGACUUCUAUGAGGACGCGUAUCAACUCGCGCUGGAAAUCCACCGGUUUCAGUCUGGGGAUGCCGGCGUGCGAGCAGAUGGGCGGCCUGGCGAGCCAGAUGCAGCGGGCCUCGAAGCGGAUCGCUUCUGUGAUCGCGGAAGGGUGGGGUCGGCGUGAGCACCCGAAGGAGUUCAAGCACUUUCUGGCUAUCGCCGCUUCGAGCGGCGAGGAGAUGCAGGUGCACUUGGACUUCUGUCGCGAUCUCGGCUAUCUGGAUCCGGAGCGCCACAAGGAGUGGCGGGAACGGUACCAGAGCGUGAUCCGAAGAGUGGUUGCAUUUAGCAAGCGGUGGGAGCGGUGAACGACGGCAGAGUGUUCGUCCUUCGUGUGUUCGUCCUUCAUACGUUUCGUCCUUCGUCCUUCGCAUGGGUAGGGGAGCGUUCCGUUUCGGGCGAAGCGGCACCGGAAGGAGCCGUGGACGGGACGGAAGAGCGAAUGCCGGUAUGAGUAGCGAGAAGACGGGUGAGAAUCCCGUCCGCCGAAAGCCUAAGGGUUCUUAAGGCAGGUUCGUCCUCUUGAGGUCAGUCGGAUCCUAAGCCGAACCCGAACGGGGUAGGCGAUGGGGGCACGGUGGACAUUCCGUGACCGCUGCGUUCCGUUCCGCAAGGAGGAGCGAAGGGGGGACGCGUUCUGAAGGUUACCGCCCGGGGCAGGUGGUCCGGGUCGGCUGGCAGAGCGGGGUGACAGGGAAAUCCGUCACCGGGGGAGACCCGCCGCUUGGUCAGCUGGGAAGCGGAGGGGUAGCACCCGACGCGAACGGGACUGGAAGGGCGCCGAGAAAAGCCUCUAGCCAGGGGCGCAGCGACCGUACCGCAGACCGACACAGGUAGGCGGGUAGAGGAUACCCAGGCGCGCGAGAGAACUCUCGUCAAGGAACUAGGCAAGUUGGCCCCGUAACUUCGGGAGAAGGGGUGCCCUGGGAGGGGGAGGCUGGGACGCCGAACUUUCCCGGGGUCGCAGCGACAGGGCUCGAGCGACUGUUUAACAAAAACACAGGUCUCUGCCAAGCCGAAAGGCGCGGUAUAGGGGCUGACGCCUGCCCAACGCCAGAAGGUUAAAGGGAGGGGUUAGGCCGGAAGGCCGAAGCUCUGAACUGAAGCCCUGGUGAGNNNNNNNNNNAAAUUCCUUGUCGGGUAAGUUCCGACCUGCACGAAUGGCGUAACGACUUGAGCGCUGUCUCGACGAGAGGCUCGGUGAAAUUGUAGCACCUGUGAGGAUGCAGGUUACCCACGAUAGGACGGAAAGACCCCGUGGAGCUUUACUACACCCUGCUAUUGUGUUCUCUGCGGGUCUGUAGAGCGUAGGUGGGAGGGAGCCUUCGGGCUUCCGGCAAUGGAACACCACCCUGACGCGUGGGGGGCACUCACCGGGGGCGGUGAGGAGCCGCACCGGGACCGUAGCAGGCGGGUAGUUUGACUGGGGCGGUCGCCUCCUAAAAGGUAACGGAGGCGUCCAAAGGUUCCCUCGGCCUGGUUGGAAAUCAGGCGAAGAGAGUAUAAGGGCAGAAGGGAGCUUGACGGUGAGACCGACGGGUCGAGCCGGGACGAAAGUCGGGCCUAGUGACCCUCUGGUGGGGAGUGGAACCGCCAGGGCUUAACGGAUAAAAGUUACCCCGGGGAUAACAGGCUUAUCUGGCCCAAGCGCUCACAGCGACGGCCAGGUUUGGCACCUCGAUGUCGGCUCGUCGCAUCCUGGGGCUGAAUUAGGUCCCAAGGGUUAGGCUGUUCGCCUAUUAAAGCGGUACGCGAGCUGGGUUCAGAACGUCGUGAGACAGUUCGGUCCCUAUCCAUCGUGGGCGUAAGAGGGUUGAGGGGAGCUGCUCCUAGUACGAGAGGACCGGAGUGGACCGACCGCUGGUGUACCAGUUGUCCCGCCCGGGGCAGCCGCUGGGUAGCUAUGUCGGGAAGGGAUAAGCGCUGAAAGCAUCUAAGCGCGAAGCUCGCCCCGAGAUGAGCCCUCUCACCGGGAAGCCGGGUAAGGCCCGUGGAAGAGAACCACGUCGAUAGGCCGGGACUGGAAGCGCCGCAAGGCGUUGAGGGCACCGGUACUAAUCGGCCGAGGGCUUGAUCU